CGGAGCAGAGGCGCAUCCGCGCGGAGGAGCCGAGGCGAAGAAGGCGAUGCAGGUACUUCUUCAUCCACGCCUUGCAUUUUUAUCCUCCUCCCACCUCCCGUUCGAAUCCGCGUCGGGCCACCACAUCCCAGCUCCACCUCCCCCCUCGGGCCGCCGCAUCCUAGCUGCCUCUAUUGCUUCUUCAGUGACGGUGCAUUCAGCCAUAUUGCGCAUCCUCUCACUCCGUAAGGAACCAGUUCGCUCGUCAUCUUCCUCGCGUCUGACCUCAUCUCUACCCCCACCGUCGUUCGUGCCUUCAUACUCCGUUCCCUGUGGCCGCCAUCGGGACGUGCUGCUAUUCGCUCCCGAGGUGGCCACGAGGCUCUCCGUGCCCAAGCUGCCUCUACGCACUGGCAGCACCGCCUGCUGUGCGUGCCUCCUGGUGUACCCGCCGCAGGGUCCUAGCCAUGGCAAGCCCACGAAUAGAGAAAGCCAACAACAUAUUCCGCCAUUCCUCAUUCUAUGUUCUGAUGUUUCUUCCCACAUCUUCCAUCGGCCAAUGUGACAUUUUGAAGAACAUAGCGUCGCCUUUGCUAAAGACUCCAUCCGUGCGUGCUAGCUAUUUGAUGAUACGCCUCAGCAAAAUGUGUUGUCCAGGUCGCCCUGUUGUGUUGCACUGUUGCACACGGUCAUGUUGUAUGACGCAUGCACAAUUGCAUACAUGCUUAGCCACGCCCGCACUAUACGCUGUUGAUCCUCUUCAUCCUCCACAUGCUAAUGCGGUAUUUCAAAUAUGCCAUGCUUUAUAUAUGUGCAUAUAUUGAUGCAUACACACACGCACAUAUGUAUUUUUGUGUGUGCGCAUAUGUAUGUAUGGAUACACACAUCAGAGUAAUAGGAAUGUUUAUAUGUCAAGAGGAAAGAGCUGAUUGAAUUUGUAUUUUCCGUAGUGGAGAAGGGAACGUAACAAAUGUUAACUAACUACUAUAAAUGAAACACAUAAAAGGUUAGUCAAAUAUGUACCAUAUAAACCCAAAGGAAAUGGUUGUAAUUUUUAAAAAAAAACUAUUAUGUAAAAAAUAUAAAUCUAGAAGUAAGAUUGUAACACGUACCUGUCUUCGAGCGAGGUCUUCUUUUUUUAGACUAAUCGGGAUGAAGAGUAGAACAAUAAAAUGAUAAUGUGACAGAGAGGUAAGGGUAAACAUUAGCUUUCAAUCGGUUGCAGUUAAAAAAAGUGCUAAUGUAACUGGCAAACCUUUUAAAAAGAAAUGUCAUAUUAAGCCAUAUAUGCCACCAUUUUCUCAACACAUAUAUUCAGUAUUUGUGCAACCUUUUGUACCGGUUGACCAUGAUAUUCUUCUAAUCUGAACGCCAAAGGUUGUGAAGACACCUGAAUCGACGAUUUCAUUUUAUUAGCCAUAUCAUAGGAAGGAAUUGAGGGCAAGCAAAAAACAAGCAUAUUGGGAUUAUAUGGUUACUUUCCAACAUGCUUGUUUUAUAUAUCAUCGUAUCUCUAUUUGUUUCUAUCAAAAAAAAACCAUCAACAUUAUAGUUAUAAUAGCCUUAUAUAUAGUAUCCCUCCUUUAAUAUACAUAUUUUUCAGGGGCGAACCCAACAAAAAGUUUGAGUGGGGCCCAAAACCUGAGUGGGGUCUAAAUAAAUACCUAUUUACUAAUGGACCUUUAUAGCUAUAGUGAAUAAGAUAAAAACUCCAUUAGAAUCAGAAAAUUGAGUCAGCCCAACGUGAGUCCGCCCCUGAUAUUUUUGGUAGAAUCGUACAAACUAGCGCGCGUAGGAAGCGCGUUAGACACUAGUGUUAUGUAAUAGUGGGCUGGACGAGCUGUGGUUUCGUGAGAGUAUAAGUACUUGAACAAUGUAAUAGGCUGGUAACUUUUUGAGAAGAGCAAAAUAUACGCCGCCACUCCGUCCGGCGUUCGUCUCCCCUCCCCCACGCCAUAGCCAUACCUCCCUAACACGAGGUUCCAUCACCCACAAUCACAAAAUGGAAGCUUCAAAGAAUGUCUUGACCACGUUUGGCACUUCGAUAGGUAGGCUUGCCCAUACUCUGGUCUGAUCAGUGUGUUGCAACCAUAGCCAACGUGUUUGAAGUGCCAUGCCAGCUAUAGAGAAGUUUUUGACCCCAAGUUCACUAGAAGAUUUUGGCUGACAAAUAUAAUGCCAAGCCACUACCGCCUUCCCAUUUGUUGAGUUAUCUGAGCCUGUCCAAAAGAAUAUACGAGCAAUGGUAUUAAUUCCUUUCUUAACCCAAGUAGGAACUUGCUCAGCCAUCAACGCAAAAUUUGGAAGUUCCAGCAGUGUGGAUUGAAUUAGAAUAAGGUGACCACUUUUUUCUAACAAGGAUCUUGCCAAGCUGGUAGUUUUUUGGCCACUUUAUCAACUAUAGGUCGAAGGUGGGAAUUUGGAAUCAUUCUAGUUGAUAGCGGCAACUCCAAGGUUAGUUUGGUAGCCACAAAAUCGAAGGGGAUUUUGAAUAAAGAAGUGAUUUUAGUCUCUCUAAUCUCUUCCGGUUUUUAAACUCCUAAACUAGGCCUAAAUAUUUGAUCGGGGUCGAAAAGAGCUAGCAGUUAAAAAUACGAGGAAUUAGCACAAAACUUUCUAUAUUAGAGUGGUUUGGUACUAACACAUAGACAUUAAAGUCGAUACGUUCAGAUAAGAUCUCAAUUGGUUGGCCUGUGCUCUUGACGAUCCGAGUUGUGCCCGUCAUAAAAUCUCUCACCCAUGCAAGCAAAUCGCAUGAAAUUUAACGUAAGAAAAUGAAACUUGAGGCACCUAGAUGCAUCAUACAUGCAUGCUAUCAUCUCCGUACGAAACACCGCAAGGUCAUUUCCCUCUUUCCGUGCAGAAACUAGACUUGCUUCUGAGUGCAUCUAGAUGGUUAGGUUUUCAGAUCAAUAAGCUCUGUUACUAGGACACAUGAACAUACAAUAAGCUAGUGCUGCUGCUGUUUACAUCUUCGUUGCUCGUUGGACGGGUUAGCCAUUGCGAUUUGAUAUACACACACAUAUAGUAAUUUGCAUAUAGCAUAGAUAAUAAGCUAACAAAGAAACUUGUACAAUAUAGUUGUAUAUUAAUUAACUCCAAUAGACAUCACAAUAAUUUUUCAUAUAUGAUAUAUAUGGAGAAACAAGACUUACAUGAUUACAUCUCUGUUAACUUGAACUUGCUUCCACGAAGACCGCCCAAAUUAAAUGAUUCUAUUAUAUAUAAGAGAGCUAAUCUUCAUGGUCAAUUCCUUCUCAAUACAUAUGAUCAUAUAAAUUUGUGGAAAAUCAUAUUCUAUUCUAUUCUAUUCUAUUCUAUAAGCGUGUGUCGGUGCCCUGAAUAUGCUUUGGGCACUCAUUCCUGCUAUGUCAAAGUGAGACCCUAGUGGCCACCGUUGAAGAUCUCACGGGCAGCCGACCUAACAUGGGGCUGAGGCCCACCAUAUGGAGUCGUGGCUAGACCAGGUUCGUCUCUUGGGCUGGACGACCGUCUACAUCAAGCCCCAUAAAGGGAGGAACCGACAACUUCAAGUCUGGGAUCCUGCAUAUAGGACCAGGACCUCCUUGUGACCCGACGAAUCUCCGGACAAAGGGAUCCGGAUAGAACAUAAAGCCACGGAGGAGAAGGCACUCUCCGGUUACAGCACCAAGGCUUCAGAAUGGUUCCAAGAAUGGGAAAUAACACCCGAACCUCAGGCCACGUGAGGUCCGGUAUCGCCACGUAUCCAGGCGUGGGUGGCCGAAGCCCGGACCCCCUCGAGUGCGAUCCGGGCCCAUGAUCAGGGAAUGCUUGGGAAUACCAUGUCGUCGCUUAUUCUCGGGCCUAUCCCUUAUCCAGGCAGGGGCAUGAAGAGACGGAUGGAGAAGACGAGAUGACAUGAUCGUUACACCCUACGCACGAGAGCGUAUCAGGCUACACCGCAACCUACAUCAAGACCUGAGUUCCGAUUAGACGGGGCAAGGUGACAGGAUAAGGACGACAGAAGAUCGUGCAACGUCCAAGAAGGGAUACAGACUCAUGAAGAUCUAGCGUUGUCAGCUCUACCCAAUUGUUUCUCGUUCCAUAUUGUACUCUCUUAGGCCCAUCGGUCAGAGCCAAAACUCCCUUGUAUGUGCCUUCCUUGGACUAUAAAAGGGAGAGCACUUGCUCUGUAGCAGGGAGAGGUCAAUCUAACACUCGGACCUUCGACUCCCUAACUCUAAAGCAAUAUAACUCAUAGUGAAUGUGAGAUACUAUGCUCCGGUGGCCUGAAACGCUCUAAACCCUUGUGUUCUUGUGUCCAUCUAGAAGGCCAGACAAUCAACUAAACCUACUCCUCAUCAGAGUACCAGGGCGGAUGCAAUCUACCACCCGGCCGGAGGAUUCGCCCCUGCAACAACGUGUUUUGACAAUUUUUGUAGUUGAAAACACUAUCUUAGUGGUUGCAGGUUAGGCAAGAGGGACUACCAUUAAUCUUAAUAAUCUAUUAAUCCGUAGAACUUUUACCCAAUUUAAUGAGUCCUUUCAUCAGCGAGUGAUGGUAAUGUAUUUAGCUCUAGGUGAUGUAUACACCAAGCUGAUAAUGUGGAAGUUGGCGUUUUAAUUGGAACUUUCUUGAUUGAAAAAUCAGUGGUGUAACUUUGAUAUAUCAAAAGUGUCUGUUCUUGGAUUCAAAGAAACAGAGAGCGAUAAAAGCUCUAUCGCAAAGCUAAAACGAUCAUCUAACUCAAUUAGUUGUUGAUCAACCGUUACAUUAAACACAUCUACUUUAUAAUAGUGAAGAGUUACAGUGUUACCACGCUUGUCACUGUAUUACGUCGCCAUAGCAAGCUUGAUUCCAAUAUGCUCCAUCCAUCCACAG
Molecule: long non-coding RNA, 4822 nt
Filed under: Zea mays
Lineage: Eukaryota; Viridiplantae; Streptophyta; Magnoliopsida; Poales; Poaceae
Description: long non-coding RNA (ZMAY_LNC004562)
Source: RNAcentral